GACGAACGCUGGCGGCGUGCUUAACACAUGCAAGUCGAACGGAAAGGCCCUGCUUUUGUGGGGUGCUCGAGUGGCGAACGGGUGAGUAACACGUGAGUAACCUGCCCUUGACUUUGGGAUAACUUCAGGAAACUGGGGCUAAUACCGGAUAGGAGCUCCGCUGCAUGGUGGGGGUUGGAAAGUUUCGGCGGUUGGGGAUGGACUCGCGGCUUAUCAGCUUGUUGGUGGGGUAGUGGCUUACCAAGGCUUUGACGGGUAGCCGGCCUGAGAGGGUGAUCGGCCACAUUGGGACUGAGAUACGGCCCAGACUCCUACGGGAGGCAGCAGUGGGGAAUAUUGCACAAUGGGCGGAAGCCUGAUGCAGCAACGCCGCGUGCGGGAUGACGGCCUUCGGGUUGUAAACCGCUUUCGCCUGUGACGAAGCGUGAGUGACGGUAAUGGGUAAAGAAGCACCGGCUAACUACGUG
This 467-nucleotide ribosomal RNA is filed under the name uncultured bacterium. RNAcentral's name for it is "partial 16S ribosomal RNA". It matches the Rfam family "Bacterial small subunit ribosomal RNA", at positions 28 to 507 of the family's 1533-position model. The record is from RNAcentral.